This 273-nucleotide ribosomal RNA is filed under the name uncultured bacterium. Its description in RNAcentral is "partial 16S ribosomal RNA". It matches the Rfam family "Bacterial small subunit ribosomal RNA", at positions 523 to 796 of the family's 1533-position model. The record is from RNAcentral.
AUACGGAGGGUGCAAGCGUUAUUCGGAAUCACUGGGCGUAAAGGACGCGUAGGCGGGUUGGCAAGUCAGAUGUGAAAUCCUACAGCUUAACUGUAGAACUGCAUUUGAAACUGCUAACCUAGAGUAUGGGAGGGGGAGAUGGAAUUAGUGGUGUAGGGGUAAAAUCCGUAGAUAUCACUAGGAAUACCGAAAGCGAGGCGAUCUCCUGGAACAUAACUGACGCUAAGGCGUGAAAGCGUGGGGAGCAAACAGGAUUAGAAACCCCAGUAGUCC